CCUACGGGUGGCAGCAGUGAGGAAUAUUGGUCAAUGGGCUUACGCCUGAACCAGCCAAGUCGCGUGAGGGAAGACUGCCCUAUGGGUUGUAAACCUCUUUUGUCAGGGAGCAACGCCGGCUACGUGUAGCCGGACUGAGAGUACCUGAAGAAAAAGCAUCGGCUAACUCCGUGCCAGCAGCCGCGGUAAUACGGAGGAUGCGAGCGUUAUCCGGAUUUAUUGGGUUUAAAGGGUGCGUAGGCGGGCUUUUAAGUCAGCGGUAAAAAUUCGGGGCUCAACCCCGUCCGGCCGUUGAAACUGGGGGCCUUGAGUGGGCGAGAAGAAGGCGGAAUGCAUGGUGUAGCGGUGAAAUGCAUAGAUAUAUGGAAGAACACCAGUGGCGAAGGCGGCUCUCUGGUCUGCAACUGACGCUGAGGCUCGAAAGCAUGGGUAGCGAACAGGAUUAGAUACCCCUGUAGUC
This 460-nucleotide ribosomal RNA is filed under the name uncultured bacterium. RNAcentral describes it as "partial 16S ribosomal RNA". It matches the Rfam family "Bacterial small subunit ribosomal RNA", at positions 338 to 795 of the family's 1533-position model. The record is from RNAcentral.